UGCAGGACACAUGAACAUCGACAUUUCGAACGCACAUUGCGGUCCAUGGAUUCCGUUCCCGGACCACGCCUGGCUGAGGGUCGGUAGCUAAAACUGAAAUGCAUUAUUUGAGUCGAUGCUGGGAGCUUCGCGGUUUGUGCAGCUUCGGCUGCCUCUGCGUCUCCUUAAAUGAGCUCCUACAGGAGCUGGACUAGUCGCUCCUAAAACGGCGGUGUCGUGUCACGGCAGUUGUUAUCGGUGGUCCACGCAGCGUCCCAGUAUGCUUGCGUUGGUUGCCCCGGGCCUUCUGCUUAGCGCGACCCACCGUAGUGACGUGAAAUAUUUUACUACCACGACCUCAGAGCAGGCGAGACUACCCGCUGAAUUUAAGCAUAUCAAUAAGCGGAGGAA
Molecule: ribosomal RNA, 390 nt
Filed under: Odontura arcuata
Lineage: Eukaryota; Metazoa; Arthropoda; Insecta; Orthoptera; Tettigoniidae
Description: eukaryotic LSU rRNA
Rfam family: Eukaryotic large subunit ribosomal RNA (bases 333-390)
Source: RNAcentral